Molecule: non-coding RNA, 122 nt
Filed under: bovine gut metagenome
Description: Moco (molybdenum cofactor) riboswitch
Rfam family: Molybdenum/Tungsten riboswitch aptamer (Moco RNA motif)
Source: RNAcentral
UUUCGAGCCAAAGCGCCUAAACCCCUGUCCUGAGGGCAUGGCGCGCGGCCGCGGGAAGCCUUUCCCGCCGGGGUGCGGACGGAAACGGACGUGCCUUCCAUUUUUGAAAAGGAGUUCGCAGA